ACCAUUUCUUUUCCAAAAUAAAUCAAUAUACCAUUCGUGGAAUAAUUCUUUAUAAAUUCAAUGAGACGAUGGAGUGUAUGGUCUUUACAUCUACCAUGUAAUCCAUGGGGUCAACGCAGACAUGAUGCUGUCAUAUGAUUAACAAGUGGCUGCACUACCGCAACAGCUAGCAAACUAAGACCGUUUCAGGUUUUUUAGAAAACGACUACCGCUAUAAAUAUGAAAGCCCGGCAGCAUCCUUAUGUCUCAGCUUCCUUCAACAGAUCACAAACCACAAAAAUAGCAGAAGAAGACCACAACCCACCCACACACACACACACAAAAAAAAAAAAAAAAAAGCAGUCAAAACUUGUUCUUAUUAUUAAAGAAGAAGUGAGCGAAAACAUUUCCAUGAAAAAUCAUCAAAGCUCAUCGGUUUUGGCGUCGGCCACCAAAUACUGCAGCCAAGUUGGUUUGAUAAAAACAAAUAAAGGCGGAAUUAGCAUAGGGCAAAAAGGUUCCAAGGGAGGGUCAGAUCCAAUUAUAUUGAGGUUGGGAUUUCAGGGAGAAGUGGAGGGAUCAACGCCCAAGCUCCAGCGGUUUAAGAUCAGAACUGUCGCAACAGGUCAGGUUGUUGUGAAGGAUGAGGACACAAGUAAAUCCUAAAACGACACAACACCUGUUGAUUCGCAUUUCUACUUCUUUUUACCUUUUUUUUUAAAAAAUAUAUGUAAUUGAUUUCUCCAAAAAUUAGAGACCACAAGACGUUGGCAUCAAAUGGGGAUUAGUUUGUGAUACGCAAGGUAAUCAAACAGCUAAGAGAGCACAAGCUUAAAAGAUGAAGUUUUAGCUGUGCUAAUUUGUGUAUGUUUAUAAUUCAUUCACAGAAAAGCAACAUGCUGCUACAUAUAUUCAGUAUUACAUGCAAACCACAUACAAUCAAAUAAACAUUAGGGUUGUCUAGUUUGCGAAAUUUUAGAUUACGAACAUGAAUAAGAUUACAAUAAUGUAAGAUUAUAGGUAGAAUGUUAGAUUAUUUUAUUUGGUUCAUUUGGCUAAAAUGUAAGAUUCAGUUGUUUGAUUGACAAAAUGUAAGAUUACUUAGAAGCACAUUUUACUCAAUUGUCUUUACUAUAUAAUUCAUUUAUUUUAACAAGUUUAGUUCCUUUAA
Long non-coding RNA from Gossypium arboreum, 1150 nucleotides. RefSeq lists it as uncharacterized. The transcript has 2 exons. The record is from RefSeq and is a predicted model, not a curated record. Lineage: Eukaryota; Viridiplantae; Streptophyta; Magnoliopsida; Malvales; Malvaceae.